This 328-nucleotide ribosomal RNA is filed under the name uncultured Bacteroidota bacterium. RNAcentral describes it as "bacterial SSU rRNA". It matches the Rfam family "Bacterial small subunit ribosomal RNA", at positions 28 to 351 of the family's 1533-position model. Lineage: Bacteria; Pseudomonadati; Bacteroidota. The record is from RNAcentral.
GAUGAACGCUAGCGGGAGGCUUAACACAUGCAAGUCGAGGGGUAAGAGGGGUAGUAAUACUUCUCUGAGACCGGCGCACGGGUGAGUAACGCGUAUGCAACCUGCCCUUUACAGGGGGAUAGCCCGGAGAAAUCCGGAUUAAUACCCCAUGGACCUGUAACCUCGCAUGGGGAGACAGGUAAAGUCGCGAGGCGGUAGAGGAUGGGCAUGCGUGACAUUAGCUUGUUGGUGGGGUAACGGCCCACCAAGGCUGCGAUGUCUAGGGGUUCUGAGAGGAAGGUCCCCCACACUGGUACUGAGACACGGACCAGACUCCUACGGGUGGCAG